ACUCCUACGGGAGGCAGCAGUGGGAAUAUUGCACAAUGGGCGCAAGCCUGAUGCAGCCAUGCCGCGUGUGUGAAGAAGGCCUUCGGGUUGUAAAGCACUUUCAGUUGUGAGGAAGGUUAGUCGCUAAUAUCGGCUAGCUGUGACGUUAGCAACAGAAGAAGCACCGGCUAACUCCGUGCCAGCAGCCGCGGUAAUACGGAGGGUGCGAGCGUUAAUCGGAAUUACUGGGCGUAAAGCGCGUGUAGGUGGUUUGUUAAGUCAGAUGUGAAAGCCGGGC
RNAcentral lists this ribosomal RNA (277 nucleotides) under uncultured bacterium. RNAcentral describes it as "partial 16S ribosomal RNA". It matches the Rfam family "Bacterial small subunit ribosomal RNA", at positions 335 to 606 of the family's 1533-position model. The record is from RNAcentral.